GACGAACCGUGCGAACGUUGUUCGGAAUCACUGGGCUUAAAGGGCGCGUAGGCGGGCUAUCAAGUCCGGGGUGAAAUCCUCCAGCUCAACUGGAGAACGGCCUCGGAUACUGAUGGUCUCGAGGAGGAUAGGGGCACACGGAACUGUGGGUGGAGCGGUGAAAUGCGUUGAUAUCCAUAGGAACUCCGGUGGCGAAAGCGGUGUGCUGGAUCCUUUCUGACGCUGAGGCGCGAAAGCCAGGGGAGCAAACGGG
This 253-nucleotide ribosomal RNA is filed under the name uncultured bacterium. Its description in RNAcentral is "partial 16S ribosomal RNA". It matches the Rfam family "Bacterial small subunit ribosomal RNA", at positions 524 to 776 of the family's 1533-position model. RNAcentral also lists the same sequence under 2 other names. The record is from RNAcentral.